RNAcentral lists this ribosomal RNA (102 nucleotides) under Listeria innocua. The record is from RNAcentral. Lineage: Bacteria; Bacillati; Bacillota; Bacilli; Caryophanales; Listeriaceae.
CGAGAAGGUCACACCCGUUCCCAUCCCGAACACGGUAGUUAAGCUUCUCUGCGCCAAUGGUAGUUGGGGGCUUCCCCCUGCGAGAGUAGGUCGCUGCCAGGC